CUAGGUUUUGCAGCGACCGCC
Molecule: non-coding RNA, 21 nt
Filed under: Arabidopsis thaliana (thale cress)
Lineage: Eukaryota; Viridiplantae; Streptophyta; Magnoliopsida; Brassicales; Brassicaceae
Source: RNAcentral